GGGAAAGGGGAUUAUCGCCUAAACGGUUUUUAUCCUCUUGUGAGAGAAACGGUCCGUUACAAUUGGUGGCAGCGGUGGGAUCAUUUCCACAGCCCAGAAGGACAGCUAUAAUACCACACCAGUUCCUGGAUUACAAAUUGAGGGCAACGCCAGUACCCGUACAGCGACCCUAUCUACAAAAGAACCAACUUCAGCAGCGCAAGCAUGGCACCCAGCUACACUCAGGAGCAGUAUGACAGAGAGUUUACCAUGCGGCUGGCUUUCUUUGGACCCAACCCCCUGGAGAAAUACGU
Molecule: non-coding RNA, 293 nt
Organism: Pelobates cultripes (western spadefoot toad)
Lineage: Eukaryota; Metazoa; Chordata; Amphibia; Anura; Pelobatidae
Source: the annotation of a GenBank genome assembly